ACAAAAAAGCGUUCCUACAAAGGCAACUCUCUCUAAACCGUUUUUUGCCCAUGAGGUAUGGAAAUCGUCUAUUAGAAUGGAGAGUAAUUGAAAGGAAAAACUACCUUUGUUUGGUUUUUUUCCAUUUUUUUCUCGUCGGUCUUGGGUGCAGUGUCAUUCCUUCUCCGCGUUCCCUCUCUCUCCAGAGAAAAGAUCGCGGAGGUAGGCUCUGAGUGGGAUUGCAAUGAUUGGCGGGACAUUCAUUCAGAUGUAUAAUUACAGAUAUGCUCGUUGAACGUUCGCGAGUUUUUAUUUUUUAUUAUUUUUUUGGAAGCAAGGCAGAAUGUACAUGUACAGUACAUAUACAUGUAAGGAAAGGAUGGUCAUUUAUUUUCCCUUUUAUAUAAAUAAUCAGACAAGCGAAAAAAGAAAAUAUAUCGGUCGUUAUUCAAACUGUC
This 437-nucleotide small RNA is filed under the name Histoplasma ohiense. RNAcentral's name for it is "hypothetical lncRNA". The stretch from base 1 to 239 matches the Rfam family "A. fumigatus sRNA Afu_182", at positions 28 to 195 of the family's 195-position model. Lineage: Eukaryota; Fungi; Ascomycota; Eurotiomycetes; Onygenales; Ajellomycetaceae. The record is from RNAcentral.